GGAGUGAGGAAUAUUGGUCAAUGGGCGCAGGCCUGAACCAGCCAAGUAGCGUGAAGGGAUGAACUGCCCUAUGGGUUGUAAACUUCUUUUAUAAGGGAAUAAAGUCGGGUAUGUAUACCCGUUUGCAUGUACUUUAUGAAUAAGGAUCGGCUAACUCCGUGCCAGCAGCCGCGGUAAUACG
This 181-nucleotide ribosomal RNA is filed under the name uncultured bacterium. RNAcentral describes it as "partial 16S ribosomal RNA". It matches the Rfam family "Bacterial small subunit ribosomal RNA", at positions 351 to 527 of the family's 1533-position model. The record is from RNAcentral.